Molecule: ribosomal RNA, 490 nt
Filed under: uncultured bacterium
Lineage: Bacteria
Description: partial 16S ribosomal RNA
Rfam family: Bacterial small subunit ribosomal RNA
Source: RNAcentral
AGUGAACGCUGGCGGUAGGCCUAACACAUGCAAGUCGAACGGCAGCACAGGAGAGCUUGCUCUCUGGGUGGCGAGUGGCGGACGGGUGAGGAAUACAUCGGAAUCUGCCCAGUCGUGGGGGAUAACGUAGGGAAACUUACGCUAAUACCGCGUACGACCUUCGGGUGAAAGAGGGGGAUCGCAAGACCUCUCGCGAUUGGAUGAGCCGAUGUCGGAUUAGCUAGUUGGCGGGGUAAUGGCCCACCAAGGCGACGAUCCGUAGCUGGUCUGAGAGGAUGAUCAGCCACACUGGAACUGAGACACGGUCCAGACUCCUACGGGAGGCAGCAGUGGGGAAUAUUGGACAAUGGGCGCAAGCCUGAUCCAGCCAUACCGCGUGGGUGAAGAGGGCCUUCGGGUUGUAAAGCCCUUUUGUUGGGAAAGAAAUCUUUCAGGCUAAUACCCUGGGAGGAUGACGGUACCCAAAGAAUAAGCACCGGCUAACUUCGUG